RNAcentral lists this ribosomal RNA (774 nucleotides) under uncultured Neocallimastigales. RNAcentral's name for it is "partial large subunit ribosomal RNA". It matches the Rfam family "Eukaryotic large subunit ribosomal RNA", at positions 26 to 616 of the family's 3401-position model. The record is from RNAcentral. Lineage: Eukaryota; Fungi; Neocallimastigomycota; Neocallimastigomycetes; Neocallimastigales.
CGCAUCUGUGCAUGCAGCAUAUCAAUAAGCGGAGGAAAAGAAACUAACAAGGAUUCCCCUAGUAACGGCGAGUGAAGCGGGAAGAGCUCAAAUUUGAAAUCUUAAAGGGUUUCCCUUUACGGAUUGUAGUUUAAAGAAGUGUUUUCUGUUGAGGUUUUGGUAAAAGUUCUUUGGAAUAGGACAUCAUAGAGGGUGAGAAUCCCGUAUUUGACCUUUACUUUCAACUUUGUGAUACACUUUCAAAGAGUCGGAUUGUUUGGGAAUGCAGUCCAAAAUGGGUGGUAAAUUUCAUCUAAAGCUAAAUAUUGGCGAGAGACCGAUAGCGAACAAGUACCGUGAGGGAAAGAUGAAAAGAACUUUGAAAAGAGAGUUAAACAGUACGUGAAAUUGUCAAAAGGGAAGCGUUUGACACCAGUGUUGUUUUUCUGAAAAUCAAUUAAAGAACUGUUUAUGCUAAGCUGUUUAGACUUUAUCAGCUAACUGUUUAGUUUUGAGCUUUUCUUUAAUGCACUUUUCAGUUAACAAGUCAACAUCAAUUUCUUUUGCUGUAAAAAAGCUUGAGGAAGGUGGCUUGAGAUUCGUCUUAAGUGUUUAUAGCCUCUUGCCUAUGCAGUCGGAGAGAUUGAGGUCUGCAGCGUAGAUCCUUCGGGGCUAAAUGCAUUUGUGCUAAGUUAUAGCAUUUUAUAGACAACUUGUUGACUAUGAUUUGUCUUGUAGCUUACUCGCUUAUGUUAUUUUACCUACGCUUAGGAUGUUGAGCGCAUGUCUCUCUCU